RNAcentral lists this ribosomal RNA (354 nucleotides) under uncultured bacterium. RNAcentral describes it as "partial 16S ribosomal RNA". It matches the Rfam family "Bacterial small subunit ribosomal RNA", at positions 338 to 689 of the family's 1533-position model. The record is from RNAcentral.
CCUACGGGUGGCAGCAGUGAGGAAUAGUGGUCAAUGGGCGCGAGCCUGAACCAGCCAAGUAGCGUGAAGGAUGACUGCCCUACGGGUUGUAAACUUCUUUUAUAAAGGAAUAAAGUGAGGCACGUGUGCCUUUUUGUAUGGACUUUAUGAAUAAGGAUCGGCUAACUCCGUGCCAGCAGCCGCGGUAAUACGGAGGAUCCGAGCGUUAUCCGGCUUUAGUGGGUUUAAAGGGAGCGUAGAGGGGUUGUUAAGUCAGUUGUGAAAGUUUGCGGCUCAACCGUAAAAUUGCCAUUGUUACUGGCAGCCUUGCGUACAGUUGCGGUAGGCGUCAUUCGUGGUGUAGCGGUGAACUUC